UACGGGGGGGGCAAGCGUUGUUCGGAAUCAUUGGGCGUAAAGCGCGUGUAGGCGGCUCGGUAAGUCUGCUGUGAAAGUCCAGGGCUCAACCCUGGGAUGCCGGUGGAUACUGUCGAGCUCGAGUCCGGAAGAGGCGAGUGGAAUUCCUGGUGUAGCGGUGAAAUGCGCAGAUAUCAGGAGGAACACCAAUGGCGAAGGCAGCUCGCUGGGACGUGACUGACGCUGAGACGCGAAAGCGUGGGGAGCAAACAGG
RNAcentral lists this ribosomal RNA (253 nucleotides) under uncultured bacterium. RNAcentral's name for it is "partial 16S ribosomal RNA". It matches the Rfam family "Bacterial small subunit ribosomal RNA", at positions 524 to 776 of the family's 1533-position model. The record is from RNAcentral.